Molecule: unclassified non-coding RNA, 243 nt
Filed under: uncultured bacterium
Lineage: Bacteria
Description: partial may contain 16S ribosomal RNA, 16S-23S ribosomal RNA intergenic spacer, and 23S ribosomal RNA
Source: RNAcentral
GCGGAAGCUGCGGCUGGAUCACCUCCUUUCUAGGGAAUCCGGAGCCAUUACUCCGGAGGCUCCUGGCCCGUUGAUGGCCGGCACCAUUGGUCGUCCGGAUACCAGGUCGCCUAGAAGUACGUCGACCUCGACGUGGAUCGCUGUUGAGUUUUGAGAGACCGCUGCUAGGCGGUCUAAGCGCACCUUGAAAACUCCAUAGCGGCAACACACGUGUUCUUUUCGAUCAAGAGAACAAGGGCACAC